Molecule: ribosomal RNA, 254 nt
Filed under: uncultured bacterium
Lineage: Bacteria
Description: partial 16S ribosomal RNA
Rfam family: Bacterial small subunit ribosomal RNA
Source: RNAcentral
UACGUAGGGUGCAAGCGUUAAUCGGAAUUACUGGGCGUAAAGCGUGCGCAGGCGGUUUUGUAAGUCUGUCGUGAAAGCCCCGGGCUCAACCUGGGAAUUGCGAUGGAGACUGCAAGGCUUGAAUCUGGCAGAGGGGGGUAGAAUUCCACGUGUAGCAGGUGAAAUGCGUAGAGAUGUGGAGGAACACCGAUGGCGAAGGCAGCCCCCUGGGUCAAGAUUGACGCUCAUGCACGAAAGCGUGGGGAGCAAACAGG